AAAGUGUCCUACGUAGAAAGUCUAGCCAACUGCUAUGGCCUCCAUCGGAGGUGCAGAGAGGGUAACCGAUCUGUGCUGAGCGUCCGACAAGGGGGGAAACGCAGGCCAGCUAUUGAGCUCCGAAAUCUGAACUUCCGUGUGCCGACCCGGUCCCUCUAUGGGGAAGGCAACACCGAUGGGUUCGUCAUUAGGCGAGAACCCAUCGGACACGGCGGAGUCACGAGAACC
This 228-nucleotide non-coding RNA is filed under the name Stieleria bergensis. The record is from RNAcentral. Lineage: Bacteria; Pseudomonadati; Planctomycetota; Planctomycetia; Pirellulales; Pirellulaceae.